CCUCCCCCAUCCCACGGUGAGGGAUCCUCUGCAAAUUACGCGCGCUGACAAAACCGUAAAUAUUCUGUUUCUUUCAAACACGCCCUCAAAAAAAUCCUAAUUGUGCAUUGAUGUGUGCAUCAUAACUCUCACUACUUAUACUGUAUAUUAGAUUUGAGUAGAUUUGAGGAAACACGGGUGGCCUAAUUUUCUGGGAAUGGCUGAAAGAGUUAACUGCAAACCCGGAAAAGGCGAAGUCUGCACAGCAACAAGCGCCAUGAUUGCGUUGCGCUGAGCGCCUCAGCAGCUGGAGAGGUUGGAGAUGUGAGCUUCACCCCCUCCGUCAUGCGAGUGGUCCAAGAAAGGCAGAAGAUUGCUGUUUAUGCGUUUACAAGUUAUUGAUAUCUAACAACUUUUACGCACAAGAACGUCUUUUUAAAAGCGAGGAUGUGGUCCAGCGGUGAACGCGUAAUUGGAGCUGCUGGCAGCGCUCGCGCCGUCUUUUUACAUGGGCACGGUCUUCAGUUUCACUUUCGGGAUGGAAGCACAUCUGGAACAUGACACCAAAUCUGUAUCCUUUGGCGAAUUUGUAGAGUUUUCAUGUGAUUUGUUUGCUUGAGGAUAUCAUCCAUGUGAAUGAGGGGAGCCAUGGAGGGGCUGGAAGAGGAGCUUACAUGCCCGAUCUGCUGCAGUCUGUUCGAGGACCCGCGGGUGCUGCUCUGCUCUCACAGCUUCUGCAAGAAGUGCUUGGAGGCUCUGGUGGAAGGGAGCCGCGGCGUGGUGUUCAGAAAUCCCCUCAAAUGCCCCACAUGCCGCAAAGAGACCCCUCACAACGGCGCAAACUCCCUGCAGAUCAACUACUCCCUCCGCGGAAUAGUUGAGAAGUACAGCAAGUUAAAGGUGCUGCCCAAAACGUCCGUUUGCAAGCAGCAUUGCGGCCACCCUCUCAACAUCUUUUGCGCAACCGAUUCCAAGCUCAUUUGCGGGAUUUGCGCAACAUCGGGUAAUCAUAGAGGGCACAAAUUCAGCUCCCUGGAGGAUGCGUAUGAGCAGGAGAAGGGGGCGUUUGAGGAGAUGCUCCGCGGGGCGGAGAGCUGGCAGAGCGCAGACAUCCUCUCCUGCUUGCAAUCCCUCCAAGCCAAUAAGAAGAAGGCGCUCCAGUCCGUCACCGCGGACGCGGGAAAGGUGGCGGAGUACUUCGACAAACUCAUCGGCGCCCUGGAAUGCAAAAAGAGCGAGAUGCUGUCCGAUUUCGAAACGCUGAAGCUGGUGGUGAUGCAGGCGUACGACCCGCAGAUCGACCGGCUCAGCGCGGCGCUGGAGGAGCAGAGCCGCGCGCUCGCCCUGGCGGAGUCCUUCAAGAGCGUCACUAAGCCGCUCUGCUUCCUGCAGCAGAUGCAGGAGUUCCGAGAAAAGCUCGAGGUCCUCAAACAGACGCCCCUGCCCUCCCGGAAAGAUAUCAACAUCGACCCCUGUGUCCGAAAUUUCGAUGUGAGAAAGUGGGAUUCCCUCAGACUGAGUGAAGUCGACAAGAUUUCUGUCCCCCACGAGAGUGGCUCCUACCGCACCGGGGGCUCACGGAUGCCAGGAGUCAGGCGGAUCGUUUUCUGCCUGACUCUCUUGCUGCUGCUGCUGCCACUAAUCCUGCAGCCUCUGAUGCCUCACAGUUUUGGGGCUGGCGUGACCUCGACGUUUGAUCCCUUCAUGAAGGCGCUCGUCUCUCAAACCUCCGCGUUUUUGCAGAAAAUGACUGAUCUGUGCAAACGUUUCAUGGAUGCAGACCAGGAGUACAUCUACUGGCCAACCUUUUGGCAACUGUAAGUUGUCAUGUAGACUCUGACAUCCCACUAAAAAAGUCUCACGAGAUCUGUGAGAUGCGUAAAGCAGAUUUUGAAACACUUGUUCAUUUGAUUUUUUACUCCACCUCAAGCAAUCACACUAAAUCAGUGUUCUUAGGGUGUGCAAUCUGUUCAGUUUUUGAUUACACUAAAGUUUCUUUUUGUCAAAAAUGAGCUUGACAAAUAAACUCAAACUGAGUCCCUUUAUAUGACUGUUUUCAUUCAGGGCUGGAGCGCUGAUGCGCAGUCAGAGGAGUACAGUGCGAUCGAUGGCUCCCCCCUUUGAGUGCGUGUGAACCAGUGAUGCUGCAACCUCCUCAAGGUUACAGGAGUUAUGUAACCAGGCCUGCUGAAAUAUUCAGACUCAGAGAUACUGCACGUUGCGCACAUUUCUUCUCGAAUCCAGGGAGCCUCAUCGUGUACAACCAUCCGGAAGCAUGUCCAGACAUGCCACCUUCUCCGCGCAGGCUUUUUAACCCGUUCCUGACACUUGCUCCACAUAAAAUGACCUCAAAGAGUCACCUGACCUUGAGGUUGAAAGGUCAAGUAACCUCUUACAUCCUGCGGAGUUCAGGGACGUGGACAUGACAGCCCAUCGCCUCCCCAGAUCAAGCUGUCUAGGCUGCUGUGUUUUACACACAUUGUACUUGUGUUGCACUAACAAAGGACACAUUUCCUUUGACAUCAGUCACUUUGGAGGAAAUUGUUUUUUUUAAAUGUAAAAAAAAAAAGGAAAUAGAAAAAUUAUUUUAAGCGUUUUUAAGAUUAAUGCUAAAAAAUAUAAGCAGAUAUUUUCAGACAAAUUCCAAAUUCAACUUGUCAAGUACACACAGCUAAGUAUAACGGUUUAAAAAUUUAUAUAAAUAAAUAUUUAUUCUACAAGUGGAAGAACAUUUUUAUGCUUUUCCUCCUAUCUCUGCGUAAAACUCAAACUGGUUAUAAUGCAAAAAAAAAA
Molecule: RNA transcript, 2772 nt
Organism: Oryzias melastigma (Indian medaka)
Lineage: Eukaryota; Metazoa; Chordata; Actinopteri; Beloniformes; Adrianichthyidae
Gene: trim13
Gene name: tripartite motif containing 13
Exons: 4
Source: RefSeq, a predicted model, not a curated record